RNAcentral lists this long non-coding RNA (1267 nucleotides) under Coturnix japonica (Japanese quail). RNAcentral's name for it is "lncRNA (ENSCJPG00005005766.1)". Lineage: Eukaryota; Metazoa; Chordata; Aves; Galliformes; Phasianidae. The record is from RNAcentral.
GUCACUGUUUUCUUCUCCUUUCUGACAUUCAGCCACUGGUUUAUCAGUUUGCUGCCAUGGCACAAGAAAGCGAGGGGAGUCAUCUUUCAGCCCUCCUCUGGUUCAAUAUUAUAAGACUUUGGCCGCUUCCACAGAUACCCAUCCUUAUGUAAGUAUAACUUGGAAAACUGCAUGGCAUAGAGAUUAAAUGAAAUCACAUUCUGUUUUAGAAAUAGAAAAUUGAGGCUUAGUGCUCCAUCAUCUUUUAGACUAUCCACUGUGGGGGUGUCUGCAAGAUAGCAUCUGACAAUUAAUUUAGCCGCCUAUAGAAAAUGAACUGAUGACUUUCAAAUGGUUUACAAUGAGCAGGAACAGUAAUGUAAAGUUAUCAUACUUUUGACAGUCUAAGACAUGAGGUUAAGUACAGAAUGAGCGAGACGAUUCAUCUACCUUUUCUGCCCUGCAAGUAGUUUCUCCUCAAAUAUGGGUGAGCUUUAAGUAGGUUGCACUUUGCUACUUGUAGUUCUUGUAUCUGCAAGUUUGAUGUAUUUCGGUAAUAAUAAAUAUAAUGUUAUUCUCUACUUCCUCAAGUGAGCAACAUAAAAUGAGUUUUAGGUGCUUUAACUUGUGUUAUGUCCUUUUUAAUAUUAUAUCUGUCUGAUAAAUGUGUAGGAAUUGAUGUAGCAUACCAUUUGCCAUUCCAAUAUCCAUGACAUAGUGCUUAAACCACUUAGGUUUGUAUCAUGUAUCAUAUUUGUUCCCUUCAGCUACGUAUUUAAAUGCUUAUUGGCUAAAUCAUUUCCUUCUUUUCAUAAAAUGUUUCUUCUAUGUUAACUCCAAAAGAUUUCCAGUAGAACAGUUUUUCACAGGACUUAAAAAAAAAAUUGAGAACACUUUCCAGAGGUGGUCAUGAGCAAAUGUAGGGUGUGGAAACUGAAGCAGCCUCUGUGGUUAUCAUCCUCAGAAGAUGGAAAAUCUGCUUGAGAACUCUGGGAAGUCCAGCAGUUUCAUAACACUUUGUACUUCACUUGCUGACCAGAACUGGCUUCUCCCUCCUACAGACAGCCUUUCCCUUGCUGUAAAAUCUUUGUUUAAUGGCUGCAUUCAUUAUGCCGCUACAAAGACAGCUCCAUCUAAACGGUUAACUGGACAUCAAAUUCUGGCACAAAUUUUAAAGUUUCUUGGUCUUCCCACUGUACUCUUUCAAAAUGAAGAAGGUGUAAAGAAGAGUAACUGCGAUUCGUAUGGCUCAGAAAUGCUAAAUAUAGCAAUAAGUUGUUUAUCCUGA